GCCAGCCCGCUCAGAAACUUCAAGGAAUGACGGGGCCCGCACAAGCGGUGGAGUAUGUGGUUUAAUUCGAUGCAACGCGAAGAACCUUACCUGGUCUUGACAUCCCGGAGACCCUUAGGAAACUAGGGGGUGCUUCCAUCUGGAAGAAUCUGGAGACAGGUGCUGCAUGGCUGUCGUCAGCUCGUGUCGUGAGAUGUUGGGUUAAGUCCCGCAACGAGCGCAACCCUUGCCUUUAGUUGCCAGCAGUUCGGCUGGGCACUCUAAAGGGACUGCCGGUGUUAAACCGGAGGAAGGUGGGGAUGACGUCAAGUCCUCAUGGCCUUUAUGACCAGGGCUACACACGUACUACAAUGGCCGAUACAAAGGGCAGCGACACUGCGAGGUGAAGCCAAUCCCGUAAAAUCGGUCUCAGUCCGGAUUGGAGUCUGCAACUCGACUCCAUGAAGUUGGAAUCGCUAGUAAUCGUGGAUCAGCAUGCCACGGUGAAUACGUUCCCGGGCCUU
RNAcentral lists this ribosomal RNA (503 nucleotides) under uncultured Desulfobulbus sp. Its description in RNAcentral is "bacterial SSU rRNA". It matches the Rfam family "Bacterial small subunit ribosomal RNA", at positions 904 to 1382 of the family's 1533-position model. Lineage: Bacteria; Pseudomonadati; Thermodesulfobacteriota; Desulfobulbia; Desulfobulbales; Desulfobulbaceae. The record is from RNAcentral.